RNAcentral lists this ribosomal RNA (414 nucleotides) under uncultured prokaryote. RNAcentral's name for it is "partial 16S ribosomal RNA". The record is from RNAcentral.
CCCUAUGGGGUGCAGCAGGCUUAAAAAACGCUGAACUUUUUCACACUCGGUUUUUAAAAUACAGGCCAAAGCCGAUUCUUCUACCGCAUUAGAUUCCAUAAGGUCAAAGGAAACUUUUCCCAUAUCGGGGUGAUAAUUUGAGGCCGGACGAUUUUGCAUAUGAAACGCUCCUACAUCAUGUUACAUGCACAUAGCGCAUGCUCUAUUCAAUAUAUGCAGCAUAUACAGCAUUUGUACACAUAUUUAUUUUUCAUAAAUCCUUUCCUUUUUUCUUCAAUCGUUUUACACUAACAGGUAGGAUGUUAUAAUUGAGAGGAGCGUUCUCAUGAAAUUUGUUGUGGACCCGGCCGUAUUUGGAGCUUUGCCUACCGCCUGCUUUGGGGUAGUCGUUGCAAAAGGAAUUGGCGGGGGGGC